GUGCCAGCAGCCGCGGUAAUACGUAGGGGGCAAGCGUUGUCCGGAUUUAUUGGGCGUAAAGAGCGUGUAGGCGGCCAUGUAGGUCCGUUGUGAAAACUCGAGGCUCAACCUCGAGACGCCGAUGGAAACCAUGUGGCUAGAGUCCGGAAGAGGAGAGUGGAAUUCCUGGUGUAGCGGUGAAAUGCGCAGAUAUCAGGAAGAACACCCGUGGCUAAGGCGGCUCUCUAGUACGGUACUGACGCUGAGACGCGAAAGCGUGGGGAGCGAACAGGAUUAGAUACCCCCGUAGUCC
Molecule: ribosomal RNA, 292 nt
Filed under: uncultured bacterium
Lineage: Bacteria
Description: partial 16S ribosomal RNA
Rfam family: Bacterial small subunit ribosomal RNA
Source: RNAcentral